GGGGAGAUGACGACACGCCGCCGCUUCCUGUCGCCGCCGCCGCCGCCGCCGCUCGCGGGCCUGGGCCAGACCUUUGGACACUUCCCCCCUGGAGCAUUCGCUCGUCACUGCCCCCAUCGGUGGGCAGCGUCUGCCCCUGCCCCGAGGAUGACUAAGGCACCAUGGGCCACACGCUGUGUAUCUGCUCCCGAGGGACCCUCACUAUCGACAACAAGAGAUAUCUCUUCAUACAGAAACUGGGAGAGGGUGGGUUCAGCUACGUGGACCUGGUGGAGGGACUGCAGGAUGGGCACUUUUAUGCCCUGAAGAGAAUCCUGUGCCAUGAGCAGCAAGACCAGGAAGAGGCCCAGCGAGAGGCUGACAUGCACCGACUCUUCCAGCAUCCCAAUAUCCUUCGCCUUGAAGCCUAUUGCUUGACAGAACGGGGCUCCAAGCAGGAGGCCUGGCUACUGCUGCCCUUCUUCAAGAAGGGUACACUGUGGAAUGAAGUGGAAGGGCUGAAAGACAAAGGCAAUUUCCUGUCUGAGGACCAAAUCCUGCUGCUGCUGUUAGGCAUUUGCAGAGGCCUAGAGGCCAUUCAUGCCAAGGGUUAUGCUCACAGGGACCUGAAACCAACCAAUAUUUUACUUGGAGAUGAUGGGCGGCCAGUGUUAAUGGACUUGGGUUCCAUGAAUCAGGCACGAAUCCAAGUGGAAGGCUCCCGACAGGCACUAGCCCUGCAGGACUGGGCAGCCCAACGCUGUACCAUCUCAUAUCGUGCCCCUGAGCUCUUCUCUGUACAGAGCCACUGUGUCAUUGAUGAACGAACUGACAUUUGGGUGAGCCUACAGGGAGUUGGAGGCUUCUGUCUGCUUUGGAAUGAUUUCUUAAGGGAAAAAUGGGAGACAUUUGCCUUACUUUCUACAGUUUGGGGCCCCAGGAAACCUGUCAUGCUGUUCUUUUUCCUCCACUUCCUUCCUGUAAGCUGGUGGCAGUGCAGAGGAAGUGGUAUAGCCACGGUCUCUGAGCAGGAGCAUGUAGGCCUGGAGCUGUUCAGCCCAAAGCUCCAUCUGUCCUCCAGAGCCAAAAGGGCAGCAGAACUGAGUUAGAUCCCUGCUGCCAUGGUGAGUAGACUAGCAGCCCUUCUCUCCCCUUCCCACAUUGGCUUAGGCAGCUUCCUUUGCUGACAUCAAGGAGCAGGGGAAUGGAGCACUUAACAAUGUCUGGCCUAGUACCUGGUAGAUGAUUCAUAAAUGGUUGCUGAUCAAUACAGGCCCCUGGGUCCCAUUUCCUACAAAUCAUAGAUGUGUAUUCAGUCCCUAGGUUGUGUGCUGUAUGCUAUGAUGUUUGGGGAAGGCCCUUAUGACAUGGUGUUCCAGAAAGGGGACAGUGUGGCCUUGGCAGUACAGAACCAGCUCACCAUUCCCCAGAACCCAAGGCAUUCCCCAGCAUUACGGCAGCUAUUGGCCUCCAUGAUGACUGUGGACCCCCAGUGCCGGCCACAUACUUCCCUCCUCCUCAAUCAGUUGGAAAGUUUGCAGCCUACAGCUCCCGGCCAACAUACCACACACAUCUGAGCAUGCAGGUUGGAACAUAGAAUUUUCUAUAAGAGGAAAGUAUUUUGUCCUCAAUGGGACUUUGAGGAUAGCAGACUGUCAUCCACAAACUCAAGAAUACAUAGAUGCUUCUGAGUUCCUACCCAUGAAGGACAAAGAGUGGGUCCUUGAGAAGGGACCUGGCUGACCCAGAAAGGGAGAAAUGGUCUCAUACGAUACAAUUGGGCCUGCUGGGUCCACAUCAUGGUCUGCCCCUGAAUGUGGGGGGUAGGGAACAGCAUUUUCAGAAUAUGUAAAUACAGAAGUAAAGCUAAAAGAUGUCUGUU
RNA transcript from Trichosurus vulpecula (common brushtail), 1861 nucleotides. It is a transcript of the gene named serine/threonine kinase 16, with no coding region annotated. NCBI's taxonomy places the organism in Eukaryota, Metazoa, Chordata, Mammalia, Diprotodontia, Phalangeridae. The record is from RefSeq and is a predicted model, not a curated record. The transcript has 7 exons.